ACACGACUACAUUAGAUACCCGCGUAGUCCCAGCCCUAAACGAUGCGCGUUAGGUGUAUCGGUGACCACGAGUCACCGAGGUGCCGAAGGGAAACCGUGAAACGUGCCGCCUGGGAAGUACGGUCGCAAGGCUGAAACUUAAAGGAAUUGGCGGGGGGAGCACCGACAACGGGUGGAGCCUGCGGUUUAAUUGGACUCAACGCCGGGAAGCUCACCGGAGAAGACAGCGGAAUGAUUGCCGGGCUGAAGACCCUGCAUGACCAGCUG
RNAcentral lists this ribosomal RNA (267 nucleotides) under uncultured archaeon. RNAcentral describes it as "partial 16S ribosomal RNA". It matches the Rfam family "Archaeal small subunit ribosomal RNA", at positions 717 to 982 of the family's 1478-position model. The record is from RNAcentral.